Molecule: ribosomal RNA, 215 nt
Filed under: uncultured bacterium
Lineage: Bacteria
Description: partial 16S ribosomal RNA
Rfam family: Bacterial small subunit ribosomal RNA
Source: RNAcentral
UGGGAACCUUCCCUAUGGUUCGGAAUAGCCCAGGGAAACUUGGGGGUAAUACCGGAUAAGCCCUUCGGGGAAAGAUUAUCGCCAUUGGAUGGGCCCGCGUCGGAUUAGCUAGUUGGUGAGGUAACGGCUCACCAAGGCAACGAUCCGUAGCUGGUCUGAGAGGAUGAUCAGCCACACUGGGACUGAGACACGGCCCAGACUCCUACGGGAGGCAG